This 750-nucleotide ribosomal RNA is filed under the name Bacillus pumilus. Its description in RNAcentral is "bacterial SSU rRNA". It matches the Rfam family "Bacterial small subunit ribosomal RNA", at positions 624 to 1374 of the family's 1533-position model. Lineage: Bacteria; Bacillati; Bacillota; Bacilli; Caryophanales; Bacillaceae. The record is from RNAcentral.
CAUUGGAAACUGGGAAACUUGAGUGCAGAAGAGGAGAGUGGAAUUCCACGUGUAGCGGUGAAAUGCGUAGAGAUGUGGAGGAACACCAGUGGCGAAGGCGACUCUCUGGUCUGUAACUGACGCUGAGGAGCGAAAGCGUGGGGAGCGAACAGGAUUAGAUACCCUGGUAGUCCACGCCGUAAACGAUGAGUGCUAAGUGUUAGGGGGUUUCCGCCCCUUAGUGCUGCAGCUAACGCAUUAAGCACUCCGCCUGGGGAGUACGGUCGCAAGACUGAAACUCAAAGGAAUUGACGGGGGCCCGCACAAGCGGUGGAGCAUGUGGUUUAAUUCGAAGCAACGCGAAGAACCUUACCAGGUCUUGACAUCCUCUGACAACCCUAGAGAUAGGGCUUUCCCUUCGGGGACAGAGUGACAGGUGGUGCAUGGUUGUCGUCAGCUCGUGUCGUGAGAUGUUGGGUUAAGUCCCGCAACGAGCGCAACCCUUGAUCUUAGUUGCCAGCAUUUAGUUGGGCACUCUAAGGUGACUGCCGGUGACAAACCGGAGGAAGGUGGGGAUGACGUCAAAUCAUCAUGCCCCUUAUGACCUGGGCUACACACGUGCUACAAUGGACAGAACAAAGGGCUGCGAGACCGCAAGGUUUAGCCAAUCCCAUAAAUCUGUUCUCAGUUCGGAUCGCAGUCUGCAACUCGACUGCGUGAAGCUGGAAUCGCUAGUAAUCGCGGAUCAGCAUGCCGCGGUGAAUACGUUCC